UUAUGUUGACGUAGAGCGAAU
Non-coding RNA from Caenorhabditis elegans, 21 nucleotides. NCBI's taxonomy places the organism in Eukaryota, Metazoa, Nematoda, Chromadorea, Rhabditida, Rhabditidae. The record is from Ensembl.